UGUGGAUUAGUGAGGAAUGUGGGACAAGGUCAGGUCACUGAUAAAGUUGGACAGCUGUGGAUUAGUGAGAAAUGUGGGACGAGGUCAGGUCAGGUCACUGAUAAGGUUGGACAGCUGUGGAUUAGUGAGGAAUGUGGGACAAGGUCAGGUCACUGAUAAAGUUGGACAGCUGUGGAUUAGUGAGAAAUGUGGGACGAGGUCAGGUCAGGUCACUGAUAAAUUUGGACAGCUGUGGAUUAGAGAGGAAUGAGGGACAAGAUCAGGUCAGUGAUAAGGUUGGACAGCUGUGGAUUAGUGAGGAAUGUGGGCGAGGUCAGGUCAGGUCACUGAUAAGGUUGGACAGCUGUGGAUUAGUGAGGAAUGGAGGACGAGGUCAGGUCAGGUCACUGAUAAGGUUGGACAGCUGUGGAUUAGUGAGGAAUGGGGGCCGAGGUCAGGUCAGAUCCCUGAUAAGGUUGGACACCUGAGGAUUAUAGAGGAACGUGGGCCUAGGUCAGGUCACUGAUAAGGUUGGUCAGCUGUGGAUUAGUGAGGAAUUGGGGACGAGGUCAGGUUAGGUCAUUGAUAAAUUUGGACAGCUGUGGAUUAGAGAGGAAUGUGGGACAAGGUCAGGUCACUGAUAAGGUUGGACAGCUGUGGAUUAGUGAGGAAUGGAGGACGAGGCCAGGUCAGGUCAGUGAUAAGGUUGGACAGCUGUGGAUUAGUGAGGAAUGGAGGACGAGGUCAGGUCAGGUCACUGAUAAAUUUGGACAGCUGUGGAUUAGUGAGGAAUGCAGGAAAAGAUCAGGUCAGUUAUAAGGUUGGACAGCUGUGAAUUAGUGAGGAAUGAGGGACAAAUUCAGGUCACAAUAAAGUUGGACAGCUGUGGAUUAGUGAGAAUUGUGGGACGAGUUCAGGUCAGGUCAGUUAUAAUGUUGGACAGCUGUGCAUUAGUGAGGAAUGGGGGCCGAGGGCAGGUCAGGUCACUGAUAAGGUUGGACAGCUGUGGAUUAGUGAGGAAUGGGGGCCGAGGGCAGGUCAGGUCACUGAUAAGGUUGGACAGCUGUGGAUUAGUGAGAAAUGUG
Molecule: long non-coding RNA, 1064 nt
Organism: Oncorhynchus keta (chum salmon)
Lineage: Eukaryota; Metazoa; Chordata; Actinopteri; Salmoniformes; Salmonidae
Exons: 4
Source: RefSeq, a predicted model, not a curated record